CGGACGGGUGAGUAAUGUCUGGGAAAACUGCCCCGAUGGAGGGGGAUAACUACUGGAAACGGUAGCUAAUACCGCAUAACGUCGCAAGACCAAAGAGGGGGACCUUCGGGCCUCUUGCCAUCGGAUGUGCCCAGAUGGGAUUAGCUAGUAGGUGGGGUAACGGCUCACCUAGGCGACGAUCCCUAGCUGGUCUGAGAGGAUGACCAGCCACACUGGAACUGAGACACGGUCCAG
Molecule: ribosomal RNA, 234 nt
Filed under: uncultured bacterium
Lineage: Bacteria
Description: partial 16S ribosomal RNA
Rfam family: Bacterial small subunit ribosomal RNA
Source: RNAcentral